UCGAGAAUCUUCCGCAAUGGGGGCAACCCUGACGGAGCGACGCCGCGUGGAGGAAGAAGGCCUUCGGGUUGUAAACUCCUGUCACGACUUACGAAAAUGCAGCGUGUAACAUCGCUGCACUGACAAAGGGUCGGAAGGAAGCCACAGCUAACUUCGUGCCAGCAGCUGCGGUAAUACGAAGGUGGCAAGCGUUGUUCGGAUUCACUGGGCAUAAAGGGCGCGUAGGCGGUCCCGCAAGUGAUCUGUGAAAUCCCCCGGCUCAACCGGGGAAGUGCAGGUCAGACUGCGGGACUCGAGGCUAGGAGGGGAGACUGGAACUCUCGGUGGAGCGGUGAAAUGCGUAGAUAUCGAGAGGAACACCGGUGGCGAAGGCGAGUCUCUGGUCCAGCACUGACGCUGAGGCGCGAAAGCGUGGGUAGCAAACAGGAUUAGAUACCCGUGUAGUCCCUGAGCGGGCUGGCAAGGCGC
Molecule: ribosomal RNA, 468 nt
Filed under: uncultured bacterium
Lineage: Bacteria
Description: bacterial SSU rRNA
Rfam family: Bacterial small subunit ribosomal RNA
Source: RNAcentral